RNAcentral lists this ribosomal RNA (380 nucleotides) under uncultured eukaryote. Its description in RNAcentral is "partial 18S ribosomal RNA". It matches the Rfam family "Eukaryotic small subunit ribosomal RNA", at positions 592 to 976 of the family's 1831-position model. The record is from RNAcentral.
CAAUAGCGUAUAUUAAAGUUGUUGCGGUUAAAAAGCUCGUAGUUGGAUUUCUGCUGAGAACGACCGGUCCGCCCUUUGGGUGUGUAUCUGGCUCUUUCUUGGCAUCUUCUUGGUGAACGUUGCAGCACUUGACUGUGUGGAGCGCUACCCAGGACUUUUACUUUGAGGAAAUUAGAGUGUUUCAAGCAGGCAUACGCCUUGAAUACAUUAGCAUGGAAUAAUAAGAUAGGACCUCGGUUCUAUUUUGUUGGUUUCUAGAGCUGAGGUAAUGAUUAAUAGGGAUAGUUGGGGGCAUUCGUAUUUAACUGUCAGAGGUGAAAUUCUUGGAUUUGUUAAAGACGGACUACUGCGAAANCANNNGCCAAGGAUGUUUUCAUNGG